UUGAUUGGUUCUGUCAGCGCUAUAUGCUCAGUUUAAAGAUUAAGCCAUGCAUGUCGAGUUCAUCUAAAGAGAAACUGCGAACGGCUCAUUAGAGCAGAUGUCACUUAUUCGGAAAGUCCUUUUGGAUAACUGCGGCAAUUCUGGAGCUAAUACAUGCGGAUAAACCCUGACUUUCGAAAGAGUGCAAUUAUUAGAACAAAUCAAUCACCUUCGGGUGUAGUUUGCUGGCUCUAAAUAACGCUGCAUAUCGGCGGCUUGUCCGCCGAUAUUCCGAAAAAGUGUCUGUCCUAUCAAACUGAUGGUAAUCUAUUAGUCUACCAUGGUUAUAACGGUUAACGGAGAAUAAGGGUUCGACUCCGGAGAGGGAGCCUUAGAAACGGUUACCACAUCCAGGGAAGGCAGCAGGCGCGUAACUUACCCACUCUUGAAGAGAUGAGAUAGUGACUAAAAAUAAAAAGACCAUUCCUAUGGAACGGUCAUUUCAAUGAGUUGAUCAUAAACCUCUUUUCGAGGAUCAAUUGGAGGGCAAGUCUGGUGCCAGCAGUCGCGGUAAUUCCAGCUCCACUAGUGUAAAUC
Ribosomal RNA from Ancylostoma ceylanicum, 576 nucleotides. It matches the Rfam family "Eukaryotic small subunit ribosomal RNA", at positions 4 to 605 of the family's 1831-position model. The record is from Rfam. NCBI's taxonomy places the organism in Eukaryota, Metazoa, Nematoda, Chromadorea, Rhabditida, Ancylostomatidae.